CGUCGUUUCGUUUAAUUGAUUAAAAAAAAAAGAAAUAAUUAAAGGGGGAUCACUGUCCCUUGUUACCUCAGCCUUCACACUAGUCAAUCAUCCCUUCCCUUUUUGAAAACCAAUCAGAAAUCGUGAGCCCCCAAAUCCCAGCAGGCAGCAGGAACUCCUUCAAUGCCCCGUCUAUCCUGUUUUGUUGUCCUUUAUUUCUAGCCUUCAAGCAAAGUCAGCCGCCAACCUCUAGCAGCCAACCCGUUGGUUCGUUUCCACUUUUCUCGCAAUUUUUGGAUGCUUUUUACCGUUUUAAAGUUCACCCCUCCCCUCCACUAUUUCUAGCUUCACCACUUUGUGGAGGUGCUUAAAUGGAUUAAAAAUGAUGGCAACCAAGACAAUUUUGGUGAAGCAAGUAAGUUAUUCCAUGACAUACAAAAUUUUGAUUUGUGUUUCACCUUUUUCUGAUGGCACUUAUAUUGGGAAUUAUAAAUGAGUUAUCACAAACAUUACAAAAGAAAGAUCAAGAAAUUGUGAAUGAGAUUGCGUUAGUGGAAGUAUGCAAGCAAAGACUACAAUCCUUGAGAGAUGAUGACUUUGAGGACUUGCUUGAUGAUGUACAAAAGUUUUGUGAUGAACAUGAUAUUAUCGUUCCUAACAUGGAGGAUUUGCAUUUCGUACCUGAAAAAUCAAGACGUAAAGCUUCAAGGAUCACAAAAUUUCAUUACUAUCGUGUGGACCUCUAUCUUCAAGUCCUUGAUAUGCAACCAAAGGAAUUGAAUGAUCGCUUCAAUGAGGUAAACACCAAGUUGCUUCUUUAUGUUGUAUGUAUAAGUCCGAUGAAUAAUUAUACAUCUUUUGACAAAGCAAAAAUUGUUCGUUUAGCUCAACUUUAUCCUCAAGAUUUUGAUCACAUGGACCUCAUGAAUCUUCCAAUUCAACUUGACAAUUACAUUCAUGAUAUGAAGAUGCAUAAUGAGUUUCAAUCAUUGAGAGGAAUUAAUGAUCUUGCAAAGGAGUUGAAGAAGACCAGGAGGUGUGCCAUUGUUGAAUCUAGAAAUUCUGCAGCUCAAAGAAAUGAGAAGGUUUGAGAAAAGUAACAUUGGUCCAUUCAUUAAGUAAUUGAGGUUAUAGCUCAGAGUCUCUCAAUCUGUAAAAGUUUGAUUGAGAAUAUUUGUGCUAUAAUUGAACCCUCAAGCGACAUAUCAUUUGAGUCACAUUUGUUGUGUUAGUGCCACAAGUGAAGAAACUCAACCUUGAGUUGCCGUUCCUGUGAA
Long non-coding RNA from Pyrus x bretschneideri (Chinese white pear), 1256 nucleotides. RefSeq lists it as uncharacterized. The record is from RefSeq and is a predicted model, not a curated record. The transcript is spliced from 2 exons. NCBI's taxonomy places the organism in Eukaryota, Viridiplantae, Streptophyta, Magnoliopsida, Rosales, Rosaceae.